CGGAGGGUGCAAGCGUUAUCCGGAAUCAUAGGGUUUAAAGGGUCCGCAGGCGGUCUUAUAAGUCAGUGGUGAAAGCCUACAGCUUAACUGUAGAACUGCCAUUGAUACUGUAAGACUUGAAUUCGGUCGAAGUGGGCGGAAUGUGACAUGUAGCGGUGAAAUGCUUAGAUAUGUCACAGAACACCGAUAGCGAAGGCAGCUCACUAGGCCUGGAUUGACGCUCAUGGACGAAAGCGUGGGGAGCAAACAGGAUUAGAUACCCUGGUAGUCCACGCCGUAAACUAUGAUUACUCGUUUCGGCGAUAUACAGUCGGAGACUAAGCGAAAGUGAUAAGUAAUCCACCUGGGGAGUACGAUCGCAAGGUUG
This 367-nucleotide ribosomal RNA is filed under the name uncultured organism. RNAcentral's name for it is "bacterial SSU rRNA". It matches the Rfam family "Bacterial small subunit ribosomal RNA", at positions 526 to 896 of the family's 1533-position model. The record is from RNAcentral.